CAGUAUUGGUUAGUUGGGUGAGUUUGUUACGUUUUUUUACAGUAAGGAUGUUGAAGAAGCAGGUGGAACAGUAUAAAAGGAUGGGUGAGGAGAAAGUCAGA
Alosa sapidissima (American shad) is the source of this 101-nucleotide long non-coding RNA. RefSeq lists it as uncharacterized. The transcript is spliced from 3 exons. Lineage: Eukaryota; Metazoa; Chordata; Actinopteri; Clupeiformes; Clupeidae. The record is from RefSeq and is a predicted model, not a curated record.